GACAGAGGCCUCGAGCGUUAGGCGGAAUCACUGGGCUUAAAGCGUGUGUAGGCGGGCCCGUAAGGACCUUGUGAAAUCCCACGGCUCAACCGUGGAACGGCUGGGUAUACUGCGGGUCUUGGGCCAACUAGGGGCAGCCGGAACAAGCGGUGGAGCGGUGAAAUGCGUAGAUAUCGCUUGGAACGCCGAAGGUGAAAACAGGCUGCUGGGGUUGCGCCGACGCUGAGACACGAAAGCCAGGGGAGCAAACGGG
RNAcentral lists this ribosomal RNA (253 nucleotides) under uncultured bacterium. Its description in RNAcentral is "partial 16S ribosomal RNA". It matches the Rfam family "Bacterial small subunit ribosomal RNA", at positions 524 to 776 of the family's 1533-position model. The record is from RNAcentral.